This 460-nucleotide ribosomal RNA is filed under the name uncultured bacterium. Its description in RNAcentral is "partial 16S ribosomal RNA". It matches the Rfam family "Bacterial small subunit ribosomal RNA", at positions 338 to 795 of the family's 1533-position model. The record is from RNAcentral.
CCUACGGGAGGCAGCAGUGAGGAAUAUUGGUCAAUGGACGAGAGUCUGAACCAGCCAAGUAGCGUGAAGGAUGACUGCCCUAUGGGUUGUAAACUUCUUUUAUCAAGGAAUAAAACGACGCACGUGUGCCUUUUUGCAUGUACUUUAUGAAUAAGGAUCGGCUAACUCCGUGCCAGCAGCCGCGGUAAUACGGAGGAUCCGAGCGUUAUCCUGAUUUAUUGGGUUUAAAGGGAGCGUAGAUGGGUUGUUAAGUCAGUUGUGAAAGUUUGCGGCUCAACCGUAAAAUUGCAAUUGAUACUGGCAGUCUUGAGUACGGUUGAGGUAGGCGGAAUGCGUGGUGUAGCGGUGAAAUGCAUAGAUAUCACGAAGAACCCCGAUUGCGAAGGCAGCUUACUAAACUGUGACUGACAUUGAGGCUCGAAAGUGUGGGGAUCAAACAGGAUUAGAUACCCCAGUAGUC